Molecule: ribosomal RNA, 301 nt
Filed under: uncultured bacterium
Lineage: Bacteria
Description: partial 16S ribosomal RNA
Rfam family: Bacterial small subunit ribosomal RNA
Source: RNAcentral
CAGCAGCCGCGGGAAUACGUAGGUGGCAAGCGUUGUCCGGAAUUAUUGGGCGUAAAGGGCUCGCAGGCGGUUUCUUAAGUCUGAUGUGAAAGCCCCCGGCUCAACCGUGGAGGGUCAUUGGAAACUGGGAAACUUGAGUGCAGAAGAGGAGAGUGUAAUUCCACGUGUAGCGGUGAAAUGCGUAGAGAUGUGGAGGAACACCAGUGGCGAAGGCGACUCUCUGGUCUGUAACUGACGCUGAGGAGCGAAAGCGUGGGGAGCGAACAGGAUUAGAUACCCUGUAGUCCCUGUCUCUUAUACA